AGAGCGAACGCUGGCGGCAGGCUUAACACAUGCAAGUCGAGCGGGCGUAGCAAUACGUCAGCGGCAGACGGGUGAGUAACGCGUGGGAACGUACCUUUUGGUUCGGAACAACACAGGGAAACUUGUGCUAAUACCGGAUAAGCCCUUACGGGGAAAGAUUUAUCGCCGAAAGAUCGGCCCGCGUCUGAUUAGCUAGUUGGUGAGGUAACGGCUCACCAAGGCGACGAUCAGUAGCUGGUCUGAGAGGAUGAUCAGCCACAUUGGGACUGAGACACGGCCCAAACUCCUACGGGAGGCAGCAGUGGGGAAUAUUGGACAAUGGGCGCAAGCCUGAUCCAGCCAUGCCGCGUGAGUGAUGAAGGCCCUAGGGUUGUAAAGCUCUUUUGUGCGGGAAGAUAAUGACGGUACCGCAAGAAUAAGGCCCCGGCUAACUUCGUGCCAGCAGCCGC
Molecule: ribosomal RNA, 449 nt
Filed under: uncultured bacterium
Lineage: Bacteria
Description: SSU rRNA
Rfam family: Bacterial small subunit ribosomal RNA
Source: RNAcentral